GUUUUAAUAAAACGUACUAUUUGUGCAAUACGUCCGUGAUCAACAAUAGCAAAGGCAAGAAAGGAAGAAAGAAAUUAAAAACUUGUAUGUUUUAAAAUGCAACCCUCUUGUUUUUAUCUCAAUCAGUAAAUUUAUUAAACGUAAAUUAACGAGCAUAUAACAACAAUAAGAAAUACAUCAGGAAUAAUUCAAAUUCACCAACAACAGCUCCCAAACAAGAACAUAUAUCCAACGUAAAUAUUUCAUUUAAGGGAUGACACCUUUUUGUUUAUUUCAGAAAUACAAAUGAGUUGAUCAAUCUUUUGAAAGAAGCUGUUGAUUUUUCCCCUAUUUGUUUUUCUUUUGGCAUUCAGCCAAAAUAUAAUAUACA
RNAcentral lists this long non-coding RNA (370 nucleotides) under Mytilus galloprovincialis (Mediterranean mussel). The record is from RNAcentral. Lineage: Eukaryota; Metazoa; Mollusca; Bivalvia; Mytilida; Mytilidae.